Paramuricea clavata is the source of this 444-nucleotide non-coding RNA. NCBI's taxonomy places the organism in Eukaryota, Metazoa, Cnidaria, Anthozoa, Malacalcyonacea, Plexauridae. The record is from the annotation of a GenBank genome assembly.
CGCGAAUUUUAACUAGUAUCAUAUUUCAUAACAUAAUGAACAAUGUAAACUAGCCAAUUCUUUUCACCUACGAAAUGUCGACAAUAUACCUUAAUACAUGUAUUAAAAUUCGCGCAGUAGCUACUAGUUGGUGCGCCAAACGCUUUGUGGUAGCUAUACUAAAGAUAAAGCGUGCCUUCAAAAUACCUACAAGAAUUAAGACAUUUAUUAUAUGUCUUAUAUGGUUCUCAUUUGCCUAAUACAAUAACAUUUAGCUCGACGCGAAUUUUAAAUAGUAUCAUAUUUCAUAAUAUAAUGAACAAUGUAAACUAGACAAUUCUUUUCGGCAUGUAGUAAAACACUGACUACCGGAACACCGGAACACCGCCGGAACACCGCCGGAACACCACCGGAACACCACCUAACCCCAACCCUAACCCCCAAUCCUAACCCCAACCCCAACCC